This 253-nucleotide ribosomal RNA is filed under the name uncultured bacterium. Its description in RNAcentral is "partial 16S ribosomal RNA". It matches the Rfam family "Bacterial small subunit ribosomal RNA", at positions 524 to 776 of the family's 1533-position model. The record is from RNAcentral.
UACGUAGGGGGCAAGCGUUGUCCGGAUUUAUUGGGCGUAAAGAGCUCGUAGGCGGUUCCGUAAGUCGAGUGUGAAAAAUCUGGGCUCAACCCAGUGGAGCACUCGAUACUGCGGUGACUGGAGUACGGUAGAGGAGUGUGGAAUUCCUGGUGUAGCGGUGAAAUGCGCAGAUAUCGGGAAGAACACCCGUGGCGAAGGCGGUUCUCUGGGACGGUACUGACGCUGAGACGCGAAAGCGUGGGGAGCGAACAGG